AUGCGGUGGGGAAUGUAUAAUUUUUACCAAGUUUUUAGCCCAAUUUUUUGUAGGGGAGAUACGGCGCAGGCUCGUAUGGGCUGUGUUUUUUUUAAUGUCUUCUCAUGGGCUGUUGUCUUUUCCUGUUUUUAUAUGGGCUGCUGCGUUCCAUUUUUUGUUGUUUUUCUUUUCUUUUUUCUGUUUCAUUAUUAUUUGUUUUCAAUUAUGAACUAUUUUAAAUUCAUGUUUUUUGGUAUUUUAUUUAUAUUUUCUAGUUCCUUCUUUUCCAUUUUUAUUUUUCUUCUUUAUUUAGCUGUUUUAAAUUCUUGA
RNAcentral lists this ribosomal RNA (309 nucleotides) under Triticum aestivum (bread wheat). RNAcentral describes it as "partial small subunit ribosomal RNA". The record is from RNAcentral. Lineage: Eukaryota; Viridiplantae; Streptophyta; Magnoliopsida; Poales; Poaceae.